GGUGAACGCUAGCGGUGCGCCUAACACAUGCAAGUCGAGCGGUAGAAUUAAUAUUGAGUCUUCGGAUGAUUUAUUGAUUUGAGAGCGGCGAACGGGUGAGUAACACGUGGGGACCUGCCUGAUAGUAAGGGACAACAGUUUGAAAAGACUGCUAAUACCUUAUACGCCCUUUUGGGGAAAGAUUUAUCGCUAUCAGAUGGACCCGCGCUAGAUUAGAUAGUUGGUGAGGUAAUGGCUCACCAAGUCUACGAUCUAUAGCUGGUUUGAGAAGAUGAUCAGCCACAUUGGGACUGAGACACGGCCCAG
This 306-nucleotide ribosomal RNA is filed under the name uncultured bacterium. RNAcentral describes it as "bacterial SSU rRNA". It matches the Rfam family "Bacterial small subunit ribosomal RNA", at positions 28 to 334 of the family's 1533-position model. The record is from RNAcentral.